This 64-nucleotide transfer RNA is filed under the name Planorbarius corneus. RNAcentral's name for it is "tRNA-Tyr". Lineage: Eukaryota; Metazoa; Mollusca; Gastropoda; Planorbidae. The record is from RNAcentral.
UUUUUGAAAGCAGUUUUGCAUUAGAUUGUAAAUCUACUUUAGGAAAAUAAUUUUCCUCAAAAAA